UAAAUAAGGUUACCUCACACGAAGGUGAGUCCAGAGAUAUAAUCACCAUCAUAUUUUACAUCACAAGGAAUUACAUUAUAAGAGUUUUCAAAAGCAGUACAUUACAAACUGCUAAAGUCAUGGUUUUUGGCAGCGGAAAUCAUACGCGAUGAUUUACAGCACGUCGUCAAGACGGAUGUCAUGCUAAGCCCAGGCACGACAUCACUCGGUACCACCAAUGUUGGUCGGGGACGGAUCCCAUUUCACGGACCAACCUUCUGAAAGAGCACAGGGUCAAGGCAAGGGAAGAGUAGGGUCUUCAAGACAUUUCCUGCAAAACAUAUAACUAGCAAGGCUGAGUAUACUAAUACUCAGCAAGGCUUACCCGGGAUUGGGUAUACUUUAGCCCAUAACUAGACUCAUGAAGGCAUUUCAAGGGUUCUGGGUUUAUUUUUAGCUGAAAAGCAACAAAGAGUAUAACUUACUUUCAAGUUUAGCUUUCAGAUUCUAGUUUGAUUAGCCAAUCUAGGUAAGCACCUAUACUAAACAAGCAAGAUAUAGAUUAUCAUCCAUCAAGAUUAUUCCCUCAACAUUUACACUUUUUUACUCGAUGUGGUAGAAGGGAUAAGCAGUCUCAUUCAUCGUGAGAGGCGGACGAUUCCUGAAUCGAAAUUCAACCUUGCAAGGUAAACCUAACACACACGCCUGGAACAUCCAAAGAUCGUUCCGAAGCAACCGUUUGCCUUUCAUUCCGGGUCGUGGACAGGGCCACCACAAGCGACUGCAGGACCAUACGCACACCCUAUAUGUGCAGGGCGUACGUCUGUAGCGCGACUACAAAACCCGUACUCCUGGUUGCCCUUGCAACACGUAUUCCCACACGUCGAAUCAAGUAACCAGAAGAACAAAUACAUGUGGUGGUCAGUAUGUCCACUUGCCGGGCCGAUUGGUUACUAGGCUUACCGCUUACCAUAUUUCGCGGUAUGUGGCUAGUACUUUCAAACGCUCAGCCACCACUACCACACAUUUCGACCUUAAAGCUUUUAUCAAAACAGAUAGGGUAAACUUUAGGUCAUGAUACAACACAUGACCCUGUCCAUCAUCCUUAUAGUGGUUGCAGAAUUGUAAACAAGCAACUCCUAUAUCGCGCGAGUGACAGGGAAUCACCUGACUUUUACCGGUCCUAUUUAGCAGAGCAUCUAUGCGAAAAGGACUCGGGUACAGUACACUGGGUUCCUGAGAUAUCAUGCAACUAGAGUGUCAUUGCAACUCCUAGACGUAAUGCAAGAUAUAUAAUGUAUAAGAUUGCGUAUUGUAGUAAGUUGAAAUACUGGGUUAUGCACCGGGGCUUGCCUUUACUGGUGGGUCUGAAGUCAGUAAGUCAACAUCUUCCGAACUUUGGUUCGGGGCUUCAGAUAAUCCUUUGGUGACGUUCAUUUGGUCUUUAGAGGCAUCCUCCGCAGACUCCGGGGAGAUCUCGUAGGUACCGUUGCCGAAGUAGUCGUGUCUACAUGCAAUGCAACAUUACAUUCAAGCGUGCACACAAAACUAUUUUAUUUCACAGCAAAGCUGCAAUCCAGCACUCAUUUAACACACUAUUCAUAUAACAAACACAAAGAUCGGAAACUAACUUUGGUGGAGCUUUAGGAGGAUAACUAAUUAGAACUGGCUACUUGUUGAUGGUUACAACAGAGCCGUUUGGAAACAACGGAGGUUUAGCUGAUGGAAAGAUGCAUUAGGUUUCUAGAUGAUCGAUGAAAGCAUCGAUUAUCUUGGCAGAAGGAUGAUUCCUAAAGCAGUUGUCUUAACUGAGAUGUGCUUAAGUGUUAUUCUAGGUAACUAGUGUGGUUGUAUCGACCCGAUUACGUCAGCACAGCAAUUGAGUGACGUAUAGCUGAAUGGAGUGUGGUUAAGGGUAUAUGACCGAUAAACAUAUAGCCGAUCUCUCAGUCGAUAAAUCGACUGAUAGAAGUGUGUGGAUAAGGAUGGGGAAACUAAGGAUCGAUCGGCCGUGUUUGACCGAUAUGGAAAAGCAACCAAAAUCGGCUUGGGUCGGCCGAUGGUAAGAACCCUAAGAUCGUGGGUGUCUCUCCGAUACAUCGACUAUGUGCAGCCGAUGUAGAACAGAACAAAAGAACUGUAUCGGCAGUAGCCGAUACUAGAAAGGUAACAAUCGUAUCAGCUAACUAGCCGAUGGUAGAAGCAUCGAUUGACAGCUGUUACACAGAAACACCAUAGACUCAAGAAAACUGAUGCUUAGCGGCUGAACCAAAAGCUGAUGCUGAGGCAUAACCGUAGAGAUGUUUUGGCUAAGCAGCAGACCUACACAAACUAACAGGGAUCCUUUUACGACAAAGAACUUAAAGAAACGGCAAUCAAGACGAGGACAAUGUCUUGAUGGUAGGGAUAUGAGCUCUAGGGUGAUAGGAUUAACUAACUGUCACACUGCUCCACUUAAAACAUACACCCUAUAAUUUAUCUUCUAGCUAUAACACAAGCAUACAAUAUAAAGCACAAUGAAACAUUCAUUCUUUAACAUUUGACCUAGACCACACAUCAAAGAUUUUCACUCAAGUUUACAACAUAAAACUUGUAGGGUUUAACUUAGGGUUUCAAACAAAACUGAUUUUACAUUUUUAUGAACUUCCUACAAGAAUCUAUAAAAUGUAGAAGUUCAUUGAUUUGAAACAAAGAAGAUUUUGGAAACUUUACAGAGAACACCCUAGAACUUCUAAAACAUAGCAAUUAAGUCCCUGGUCCGGGAAAACAGAUAACAGGAAGAUAACGACGAUAUUCCGGCAAAGGAAUCGUCGGCAUUAAGAAGAUUCAGUAGGUCAGGGCAAACCUUGGUUGUGGAGAAGAAUGGGCGGAAAGUAAUUCCCCGUGGUGAACAAGAUUGGCGAUGAAAAGUGCUCGAUGAGGGGGUUCAUGAGCUAUCUUGAGGUGUCGAGGUCUUGUUCGGACGAUCGACGAGGGAAAGGAGUUGCUGGAUGUCGUGGAUCAUGGGACGAGACGAUGGAGCCGAACGGGUUCGCUAUACCGACUUUUCCGCGAACCCUAGGGUUUUCCUGCUCACGAGCUGAGUCGGCCACCAGUAGAAUGCUUCUGCUCCAUACUCGCGGAUGCGCUAGUCCAAUUCAGUCCGGACGUCCGCCUUGUUUAGCCGUGCCACACUCGCCCCUUCUGCCUCCGUGAGAACCGAAGCCCGUUCACACCGGGGCUAUCUCCAUAUCUUCCGCGAGUAGUCCGCAGUGCCGCUUGAUCUCAUUUGCUGCUUUCCCUUUAACGGUCUCCGACGUCCUCCACGCGCGACUCUACUGCUCCCUGGGCGGGUUCGCCUAUAGCCGCCGCAUUACAACUCCUCUCACAUCGCGCGCGACCUCCCAGCACAUCGUCGCCCUGCACGCUGUGCAGUUGCUCCUCCGCUUCCAGCUGCCAAACCCGUGUUCGCCCGGCCUUGCCGCGUCACUUCCGCGCUCACACACGCGUAUUCGCGCCACCUGGGCCUACUCCUGCCCCGGCCGAGCCACUCGCGCGCGCCCACCGCGCCUCCAGCGCCCUCCGCGCGCGCUCCGCUCAACACCUGCACACGCCACCGGCUUCCGCUGCGUUACCGCGCGUAUGUUCGCGCCACCCGCUCGGCGUCGCUUACAUUCGCUCCUGCACUGCCAGCCGUGCCGCUCACGAAUUCGCGUCCACUUCCUGCGCGACAUGCGCCUUCACUCGCCCGCGCGCAUGCACUCGCUCCCGUGCACCUCCACGCCUCCUGCUGUCGUGCACGCCCUAGCCACAUCACCUGCUCCCGCUCACGCCUCGUCUGCUCCCGAGCCGCGCACCAACGCCGGCCUGCCGCCAUCCUGCGCACGCUCGCGCUCGCCCAGCUCCUGCCGUCACCUGUGUCGCGCUCCAGCUUCCGCUCGCGUGCUCCCCUGUGCGUUCGCGCGCCUGAGCCACUGGGCACCGCCAGCCGCCCGUUGCCACGCGCCUGAUCCGGCCCCGCGCACGCGCCUCCUCUCUCCUGCGCUCGGGCCGAGCCGCC
This 4018-nucleotide long non-coding RNA is filed under the name Panicum hallii. RNAcentral's name for it is "long non-coding RNA (PHAL_LNC000232)". The record is from RNAcentral. Lineage: Eukaryota; Viridiplantae; Streptophyta; Magnoliopsida; Poales; Poaceae.